AAUCUUGCGCAAUGGGCGAAAGCCUGACGCAGCGAUGCCGCGUGAGCGAUGAAGGCCUUCGGGUUGUAAAGCUCUGUGGAUGGAGACGAAGAAGUAUAGGUUAAUACCCUAUGCGGUGACGGUAUCCAUUUAGCAAGCACCGGCUAACUCUGUGCCAGCAGCCGCGGUAAGACAGAGGGUGCAAACGUUGUUCGGAAUUACUGGGCGUAAAGCGCGUGUAGGCGGCACUGCAGGUCGGAUGUGAAAUCCCGUGGCUCAACCAUGGAAGUGCACCCGAAACCGCAGAGCUAGAGUAUCGGAGAGGAAGGUGGAAUGCUUGGUGUAGAGGUGAAAUUCGUAGAUAUCAAGCGGAACACCGGUGGCGAAGGCGGCCUUCUGGACGAUUACUGACGCUGAGACGCGAAAGCGUGGGUAGCAAACAGGAUUAGAUACCCUGGUAGUCCACGCCGUA
RNAcentral lists this ribosomal RNA (451 nucleotides) under uncultured marine bacterium. RNAcentral describes it as "bacterial SSU rRNA". It matches the Rfam family "Bacterial small subunit ribosomal RNA", at positions 360 to 804 of the family's 1533-position model. The record is from RNAcentral.